ACAGGCAGCCGACUGGGGGUUGCCGCUAACCCACGCCUAAAUCUCGUCGUAAUAUUAGAACUCCUGGAAGUCUCCUUCUACGGCUUCAUCUUCUCCUGAGCAGUGGUUGCAAUGCAGACAACCUGGGGAUGGGGGGUUUGGUGUGUAGAGCAAGGGUGAGUACACAUCAACAUACUCAGCAAGUGUCCUGUUUGGUUGUAGUGGACUAGCUUUAUGUGGGGCUAAGUCAAGCAAUUGCUUUUAGUUGGUCAGAUUAUUAUUACUAGUAGAGAAAGCCAAGUUUUAGAAUUAACCCACGUUAUUAACCCAAACGUACCCUUUCCAAACGGAAAGAAUACCACUUACUGUUACCAUAGUUAAUGCCAAACCAUCAUUCUCAUUGCCACCUGUAAUCCGAACAUCUCUGAUCAAGUGCCACUAAUCAAUGGAGCUCCCUUGGCCGCUCAUAACCGCGAGCACGGCUGAUAUAUCAGUUUCAUAACACUCUGCAGAGGUUGUGCACUUUACCCACAAGCCGUGAUUCCCUCUUGCCUCGGGCCGAUCAAACCCUUAAACACUACCAAGGUGAAUAGGCAGGGUCUCACUACGUAGCCUUUACAAAGAUUCCCUGGGGUUGUAGCCGCCCGUUAGGUUUCCUAAAUGCACCGCACUCCUCCUCAAGGGGCGAACCAACCUUAGCAGAGCGAGCCGCAUACACCGAGCCCCAUUAACGGCACGACGGCGAAGCGAACUACACCCCAGUUCCUCUAAUUACUCAGCUAAGGGCAUCCCAUUCCACCCUUAUGGUUGCACUGUUUUCCCGGGCGGUCAUCCAACGAACAGGUCCUUACGGAGAAGCACUCGAGAAACCGCUCGAGCCCCCUUAAAUGCCACAAGUAUAUCAUAAUAAAGAAGGGAAACAGCGUAUCAUUGAUAAAUCUCAUCAUGUUCAUUGAUUAUGGUUAAGCACUAGCAUAAAGCUAAACCAUAAUAAUCCAACCCAAAUAGGUAAACAAGGACAUGGAUAACAAAAACUAGUCAAUCCUUAGGUAUAACUGUGUAAAUGCGGGAAUUGAAUUAUAGAAUGUAUAGGACAAAGAUAGGUCAAGGGACACUUGCCUUCACCAAACAGAUGCUCAGGGUCUUCAUCCUCGUAGAACUCGAAGAGUUCGAUCACUUGGUCGCCAAGCUUGAUCAUCGAUCCCUCGAAGCUCGGAAACGGAUCACAGUCUAUUCGUGACGCACAGCGAAUACAAACAGGCACAAACAAACAUAUAUAUAUAUAUGCAUAAGAACAUUACACCAUUCAAAUAAAAAAAUAACAAAAUAUGCAAAACGAAGUAGAGUGCGUUACUACGGUCACACGAGGAAAAGAAGCGUCGAAAUCGAAGCUAUGGUCAAGAAGUUAACGGGUUUACGCUAAACAAAUACUAAUUAAAACAUUUGAUUCGACCUGAUUAUAUUAAUCGAUAUUUAUUAUAUAAGCCUAAGUGGAAUACUACGCAUUUAAUCUAGUUAGAAUGUUAAUCUAAUAAAUAUUAGUCGAGCGAACCUUAAGUUAAUUAUCUAAAACAUAUGACCUGACGAAUUAACGUUAUUAACAUGAGUAAUUAUAAGCAAAAACAAUUUAUUAUCACACACAGACGCCGCACGACCCACGUGAUCGACACGCGAGAUACACGCUAACGGUCCACGGUAAGGCAAACGACACGAGUAAAUGACACACGCGACGCACACACACGACGUAUGACAACGCGGGCGAACAGCACGCGCGACACGUGCUAACCAACGUGACUACGCGCGCGAACAGCUCAAUGACGCGCAUACGAUGUCGCGCGCGAACAAUGACAAAUAAAUAAUUAAAUAAAAGUAUUUAAGCUGGUAUUAAUCAAGUUAAUUAACAUUUAUAUUUAUAAAAGCAUGAGUUAAAACUAUAGACUCGUUCUAAUUAAAUUGUUAUUUUAAUAACCCUCAAGUAAACCAAUAAUUAAUUAUUUAACUAAAACAUGUGUGGUAACAACAUAAUAAUUUUAACGUGCGUACAAGAUCAUUACACGGUUAAUAUAACUGGAACGGAAUGAAUCAAAUAUCUAAUGCCAAAGUUAAUACAUACUCAUUAAUCGCAGAUUAACGACGACGUGGUGCAAUCCUAUCGACCGACCACUUACCACAAAAAGGGUCACACGAGGUGCAGCCACAGAAAAUCUUUAGAUGUGGGAUCUGGUGUGGCUAGCAUCUCCUUUCUCUCCACCAACUGCUCACUCCUUCACAAUUCUCUUCUCCCUCGUCUGCUGCGCAUGCACGAACUGAAAUGGUUGAUUCGAUUUAUGAGUUCCGUGCAUAGGGGGUGAAAAAUGAAAGAAAAUUGGACGCUUUUCCGUUGUCUGGGGAUAGUCCCAAAAGGAGUAGCAAAUGAUUUUUAAUAAAAUGCUUUUGGAUUCAAUCGUGCUCCAGCUGCAAAAUGAUUUUUACUGUAUGCAUACGGACCUACGAAUGGGGCUGGAGGUUCGAUGUAUCUUCCUGAGGCCAGGGAUCUUCUACUACAUCUGGAAGUCGCAUACUGCUUUAUUGGUUGUUCUCUCUUCAACCUUCCAUGUGCCUCCACUCCAUUCUUCAAACGCAACGACGCAAGGGGACGGGUGGGACUGGCCUGGUCGAGGCUCGGUGCUGGGCUUCGGCGCAGGUGCCGGGGAGCCGCGGCCAGGGGCAAGAACGCACACGCACGUGGGGGCUGGGGGCUCCAUGUGGUCUGCGUUGCAGGGAGCAGGCACUGACCAUGGUGGCAAACCCGCAGCAGCUAGCUACGGCGGAGCGGAGCGGGAGCGAGAUAGACGAGGGAAGGGGGUAGACGACCUCACCUCACCAGACCAUCACGAUGAAGAACGGCGAGGGAAAACAUGGACAGCAGGUCAGCGAAGCUCCGGUGGGGAAGGUGCUUGGCGUCCGGGUUUCUUCGACCGCUCGCCGGAGCCGGGCCACGCCACGCCGAGCUGCGCGCAGGAGAGCCAAGGGCGGAGCUGCGCCGCCGAAAAGGGUUGGUCGUGCCCGAGGGCAGGGAGGCGCUAGAGAGAGGGGAGCGGGGCGAGGGAGAUGCAGGGGUUGUUCAAAUGGUCGACAUGGGUGGGCGGUUGGUGCUUUUCUACAUCUGGGCAAGAUGGACGGGGACAGACAGUUUUGAGGGAG
RNAcentral lists this long non-coding RNA (3162 nucleotides) under Zea mays. Its description in RNAcentral is "long non-coding RNA (ZMAY_LNC002073)". The record is from RNAcentral. Lineage: Eukaryota; Viridiplantae; Streptophyta; Magnoliopsida; Poales; Poaceae.